This 603-nucleotide ribosomal RNA is filed under the name Paecilomyces niveus. RNAcentral describes it as "LSU rRNA". It matches the Rfam family "Eukaryotic large subunit ribosomal RNA", at positions 53 to 670 of the family's 3401-position model. The record is from RNAcentral. Lineage: Eukaryota; Fungi; Ascomycota; Eurotiomycetes; Eurotiales; Thermoascaceae.
GGGUUAAAUAAAUCAUCAAGGUAUUGCCUUAGUAGCGGCGAGUGAAGCGGCAAGAGCUCAAAUUUGAAAUCUGGCUCCCCCGGGGUCCGAGUUGUAAUUUGCAGAGGAUGCUUCGGGUGCGGUCCCCAUCUAAGUGCCCUGGAACGGGCCGUCAUAGAGGGUGAGAAUCCCGUCUGGGAUGGGCGGCCGUGCCCGUGUGAAGCUCCUUCGACGAGUCUAGUUGUUUGGGAAUGCAGCUCUAAAUGGGUGGUAAAUUUCAUCUAAAGCUAAAUAUUGGCCGGAGACCGAUAGCGCACAAGUAGAGUGAUCGAAAGAUGAAAAGCACUUUGAAAAGAGAGUUAAACAGCACGUGUAAUUGUUGAAAGGGAAGCGCUUGCUACCAGACUCGCCUGCGGGGGUUCAGCCGGUACUCGUACCGGUGUACUCCCCCGUGGGCGGGCCAGCGUCGGUUUGGGCGGUCGGUCAAAGGCCCCCGGAAUGUGUCGCCUCUCGGGGCGUCUUAUAGCCGGGGGUGCAAUGCGGCCAGCCUGGACCGAGGAACGCGCUUCGGCACGGACGCUGGCGUAAUGGUCGUAAGCGGCCCGUCUUGAAACACGGACCAGG